UGAAGUUUUGAUACAUGUGACAACAUGGAUGAACCUGGAAGACAUCAGGUUGAAUGAAAUAAGCAAGACACAAAAGGACAAAUACUGUAUCAUCUCACUGAUGUGUAAUAACUAGAAUAAGCAAACGUAUAGAUUCAGGCUCUAGAAUAUGAUUACCAGUUAUGGGAACAAGUAGCCAAAGCUUAAAAUGAAUAAAACAAAACAAAACCAAAAAGUCAGAAGCAGAAUUGGUCUCAGUGUUUCCCAAAGUUCGUUUUAGAGUAUAUUCCCUGAACUAAAAUUUACACAACUAUUUUUCCUUUAAACAAGUUACUAAAAGAAUAAAUUUAUUCUGAAAAAGGUAAAUCAGUGUCAAUUACCAUAGAGAGGUUCAUAAAAAAUCAGAUAAGAGAAAACAAAAAGUGCUAUUAAAUUCUGGCCAAGCGUUGCUGCCUGCUGGGGAGCCGAGAGCUGCUCUCUGCUGGUUUGCAAAGGGCUUUGGCCUCAGCAAGGGGUCGGAGGCCAGAGGAGGGAGGAGAGAGCCGGCUGUCUUGUUUCCCCUGUCGCUCCAAGUCCCGUGUCCGGCGCUGCCUCCGCCGCCCGCAUCCCCUGUCAGGCCCCUCCUGCCCCUGGGGGAGGCUGGCCCGGAGGCCCCGGGCAGCUCGGGGAUGGCCCUUCCCCCGACCCCCCACCGGGACUUCUGCAGCCCUCAGUCCCGACAGGAUUUGAAAGGUUUCACCUCCGGAAAGCUGGACCCAGCUCUGCUGAACAGCCUGUCAGUCCCGCCCUGCACCAGAGCCCUACGGGGCCUCAUUCCUGGCCUAUGUUUGCAGAUCCAUCCUUCCCAACAAAAGGCACUCACCCCCCAUCAGACCCCUCCAAGGGUGAAAACAACUUAACCCUUCACUCUCUCCCACCUGCGGCCAGGAUGCUGAGCCUCCCCCAGAGAGCUCUGUCCCUUGUCGCUGCCACGCGUGUGUCCAGAGACCCACAUGGUAUGAGCGGUGGGGGCAGGGCUGGGGGCUGGAGCGCUGUUCGGUUCACCCCAGCGGGGGUGCACCCCCAGCCCCGGCAGCCGCCGCCCCCACCCACGGCCUCCGCCGAGCUGCCCUGGGUCACGCUCCAGCUUCUGCUGCUCCGGUGGCGGCGGCUUCCGGCCGGGCAGGAACAUUUCUGGUUGAAGUGCAGGAACUAUGUAUCCUUCCGGCCCCUCGAGAGGAGUGUCAGCUCCGGAAAAUUACCAGGCCAGGAAGCACUUUUGAGAGCGAACUUUCCCCAUUUGGCUUCUGCAUGUGAGGAAACGCUAGAUGAGGUGCAGGCCCUGAGCUGGGCAUAAGGAGACACAGGGACACCUUCCAGCAAGCACAGCCGCACUCAACCACUGCCUGAAACGACUGCAACGGGUCUUAUGAGUCAGAGCCCCUCCCCCAGCCCUCCCCAGGGCAGAAAACACAAUGGCCACCAGCCUGUGGUGCCCAGGGCAGGUCUUCAGCUCUGGACUUGCACAGGUGAGCCCGUCCCUCCCUGAUGUGCACAGGUGAGCACCUCCCUCCACGAUCUGCACAGGUGAGCCCCCCUCCCCAACCUGCACAAGUGAGCCCCUCCCUCCCUGAACUGCACAGCUUUAGGUUUUUUGACUGGGAAGAGAUCAAAGCUCAAUUGGAGAGAGUUUUACUGUAGCCACGGACAGGCAGCUGAAGCCUGAGUGGCAACAGCCCAAACAAAAGUGGGAGUAGCUUUAUGGCUUUUGGGAGGGGGUGUUGGUGCCGGAAGGGGCAGGUCCUGAGCUCCAGACCUGCACAGGUGAGCCGUUCCCUCCCUGAAUUGCACAGGUGAGCCCCUCCCUCCCCGACCUGCACAGGUAAGCUUUCAUGUCCGUAGCCUUCGUGGAACCUGAGUGUUUGUCUCUCCCCUCACUGCCUGCACGCAGAGCCCCUGUGUGGCUGGAGGAUGGAAUUUCACUCCCCUCCAAGUCCAUCCCUGUUGCUGCUUUGGGGAGUCCAUCAGUUCUGUGUCAAACACACAGCAGUGCACAUAUUUACGCACCAUCAUUCCCCAAGGAGGGACCCUUCAGAAAGUCAUGAAUGCUCAGCUCUGGGUGAAGCACAUAAAGCUUUAUUAAUGGAUCCAAGGAUGAGCCAACCAGCCCGACGGGGCUCACCGAGGUGGAGGGAAGCCACGUGCAAGGCGGCUGCUGAAAGUGCAGAGCCUGUUGACAACAAUUAUUAACUGUGCAGCUUUGGCGGUGCUUCCGGACAGAAGACUUUGCUCCUGAGAGCACGGGGGAAGGACUGGAAACCCGGGCCCCAGUGCCUGCUCGGCUCAGACCCGUGGCAGGUUGAGCACCCCAAGAACCAUGGCCACAGCCCCUCACGGCCUGUCCUUGCUGCUCCCCCACUAGCUGGAGGCCUUCCUGGAGGAGGCUGCAUAGAGGGCAGCACCCGGCCGCCAGCCCCCAUGACCCAGUGCCCGCUGCCAGGGCCAGCACACAGGCAGCAGCCGGGCGAGGGUCCGUGAGCCAACACGACAACGUGGCGGAGCAGCAGGAAAGGCAGGGGUGGGGUCGGCGUCCCGGCUGGUGCUCGGGUUUAAAAACCGACCAGACGGCCUCACCGUCCUGCACUGACCUUCAGUGACUCGCUGGCCUCGUGCAACACCUGUGCUCCCGUCCCUGGCGUUUCCUGCGGCUGCUGUAACAGGCCACCACCAUCACGGCGGCGUCGGACAACCCACACCUAUCCCUUAAGGUUCUGGGCGCCAAAGUCCAACACGGGCCCCACUGGGCGGAAGCUGGGUGUGGCCACUGCUCGGGCAGCUGUGCUCCUCGCCCGUCCCCUCCCUGGGUCACCGGGCAGCCACUGCUGACCUCACACUCCCUCCUUCGUAACCCAGUCCUCUCCGCCUCCCAGUCCUCAACCUCGUCACGGGUUCCGGGGACCAGGACAGGACCUGCUGCCCCUCCACCCCUGCCCCGAGGUCUGUCCUCUCUGUGCCUCUGCCAGGCGGCGUCUGUUCUGGAAGCUUUCCACCCAGCUCUCGUCUCCUGCCCUCAGGGUCCCAGCCCAUCGUCCCUCUCACGGAGCAGCCCUCACUGGCCACUGCGGGCUGCACCCUUCAGCCCCCGCCCCCGAGGCACCCCUGCUGGUUUAUUAUCCAGCCCCUACCCCAGGCAAGGGGCUGCGCUGUCUCUGUCUCCCCAAGUGUUAUCUGUGGCCCACAAGGUGAGGUUUCACAAAUUUGGCUUAGGAUGAAAGAAGGGACGCCCAUUUCACAGGCUGGACACCAGGCACCAGGACCCCUGCCAGCAAGUGGUAGCCGGGGUCUGCACCCAGGUUUCCUGGGCCUUGAGCACCAGCCCAGACCCCUGCUCACCCCACACGGCCUGAGGGACUGGCCUCGCCUCCGGAACCAGGCCCGAGCCUCACUGCGGGUCUGGGGCCUUCCCCGAGGCUAGACCUGAGGGUGCGUGGACCCCACCCAGGUGGGGGGUUGUGAGCAGCCGUGCAGGGGUGCGGUGGCGGGAAAGGCCGGCACACGGGAAGGAGGGGAGCAGGGCCAGCACCCCUGAGGAGAGCUGCGCAUGCAGAAUAGGGCUCCCGGGGGGUGUGCAGGGUUCUCUAGGGAAACGUUUCUGAGGCAGGUGGUGCGGGGAGUGCAGCUCAAACAGGUGCCCCCUCUGCGGCAGGACGUGACAGGCCCCAGGGCGGCCGAGGCCCUCUGAGCUCAGAGGCUACCCCCACCUGUGGGUUGCCUGCAGGUGCGGCUGCAGGGUUGCAGCCUCUGACCCCAGCUCCCUGCUCCCGGGGCCACGCUGAGCCACGGGAGCCACAUGGAGCCACAGGAGCCACGCAGAGCCACGCAGAGCCACGCUGAGAUACGCGGAGCCACGGGAGCCAUGCGGAGCCACAGGAGCCACACGGAGCUACGCUGAGACACGCGGAGCCACGGGAGCCAUGCAGAGCCACUCGAGCCAUGCGGCAGCUGCCACCCGCCCCAGGCUCAGAGCAGCUGAGAUGUGGCCAGGGCCACCGAGGAACUUUUACCUUUACUUGAUUUAAGUUUUAAAACUGAACCCAGUUCAGUGAUCAGAAACUUCAGUGUGUUUAAAACAACUUAGGCAUGUGAAUGUACAUUUUCAAUUGUGAAUUUUGUGAAAUCUACAAAUCAAAUAUUUCUGAUAAAAAUUUUGUCUGAAUCGAGGUAUGCUGGAGGUGUAAAAUACACACCUUACUUCAGUCACUUAGAAAAAAAUAAACCCUCUCAUUAACAGUUUCUUACAUUGAUUAUACUUAUAUGAAGUGAUAAUAUUUU
Choloepus didactylus (southern two-toed sloth) is the source of this 4290-nucleotide long non-coding RNA. RefSeq lists it as uncharacterized. The transcript is spliced from 5 exons. The record is from RefSeq and is a predicted model, not a curated record. NCBI's taxonomy places the organism in Eukaryota, Metazoa, Chordata, Mammalia, Pilosa, Megalonychidae.